AGAGAGCGGCGUACGGGUGCGGAACACGUGUGCAACCUGCCUUUAUCUGGGGGAUAGCCUUUCGAAAGGAAGAUUAAUACCCCAUAAUAUAUUGAGUGGCAUCACUUAAUAUUGAAAACUCCGGUGGAUAGAGAUGGGCACGCGCAAGAUUAGAUAGUUGGUGAGGUAACGGCUCACCAAGUCAGUGAUCUUUAGGGGGCCUGAGAGGGUGAUCCCCCACACUGGUACUGAGACACGGACCAGACUCCUACGGGAGGCAGCAGUGAGGAAUAUUGGACAAUGGGUGAGAGCCUGAUCCAGCCAUCCCGCGUGAAGGACGACGGCCCUAUGGGUUGUAAACUUCUUUUGUAUAGGGAUAAACCUUUCCACGUGUGGAAAGCUGAAGGUACUAUACGAAUAAGCACCGGCUAACUCCGUGCCAGCAGCCGCGGUAAU
Molecule: ribosomal RNA, 435 nt
Filed under: uncultured bacterium
Lineage: Bacteria
Description: bacterial SSU rRNA
Rfam family: Bacterial small subunit ribosomal RNA
Source: RNAcentral